CUAGCCUCCGUUUGCCACGUAGUCCAAAGCCAAAUCUGCAUGCUUUGUUUUAUUACAGCACUCUCUUCUCCUGGGUCAGCUGGAAGGUCCUCUGCUGGCAUCACCAGGGCCCAGAGAAGUGGCUGCAAUUAACGAUAAGGUCAGCUGGCCUGGAACACCCAAGAUGGUCUCAUUCCCAUGCCUGACAGUAGGUGCUGCCUAGCAGCAGGAGUGCCUCAGUUUCCCUCCACAAGGCCUUUCAUAUUCCAUUAAGCUAGACUGGCUUCCUUACAAGGCAGUCCCAAGGCAGUGUGCCAAGAGAGCAAGCCUUAAUGGGUUAAUACAGAGAGUAAAGACCAACACCACCGUCCAGCACUGCCUCUCUUCCCAGCCCUCCGAAUCCCACCCAGAGGCCCACGAGCUGGUCUUCUGUGCCAUCUUCAUUCCACAUUUGGACAAGACGGAGGACUCAUGUGUCAGCCUCUGGGGGUAAGGAUAUCCACGUUAUCUGCCACGCAAAAUAGCAGUUCCUAUUCAUUUCUUCCAAAUCUGCCUCUGUCAACCACUGAUGGCGCGCUAUCCUGUACUGCUGGUACUGUGAGAUUCGGCACCAUUGUCUGUGUUCUGACUGUGCACACCUUUGGCGUGUCACGGCCAAGCUCUCACUUUCCGCUGAAGGAUGGAGUUUGGUUUUUUUUGCCUCCUGUGAAGGACCCGCUUUCUGCUAAUCAUUUUAAUUACUCUCUCCUGGAGCCCUUCCAGUCCUGUCACGCCAUCUGUAAAUGGCAGAGAACAGAACGACACACAUUAUGGUGUCAAUUUAUAAUAAUUUGGUACCAAGAUGCAAUCAUGA
This 832-nucleotide long non-coding RNA is filed under the name Homo sapiens (human). Its description in RNAcentral is "HSALNT0301220". Lineage: Eukaryota; Metazoa; Chordata; Mammalia; Primates; Hominidae. The record is from RNAcentral.